GAUGAACGCUGGCGGCGUGCCUAAUACAUGCAAGUCGAGCGAACGGACGAGAAGUUUGCUUCUCUGAUGUUAGAGGCGGACGGGUGAGUAACACGUGGAUAACCUACCUAUAAGACUGGGAUAACUUCGGGAAACCGGAGCUAAUACCGGAUGAUAUUUUGAACUGCAUGGUUCAAAAGUGAAAGACGGUAUUGCUGUCACUUAUAGAUGGAACCGCGCUGCAUUAGCUAGUUGGUAAGGUAACGGCUUACGAAGGAAACGAUGCAUAGCCGACCUGAGAGGGUGAUCAGCCGCUCGGGAGCUGAGACGCGGACCAACCUCGGACGGGAGGCAGCAGUAGAGAAUCUACCGCAGUGGGCGAAAGCGUGACGGAGCAACGCCGCGAGAGUGAUAAGGGUCUUCGGAUCGUAAAUCUCUGUUAUUAGAGGAGAGCAUAUGUGUAAGUAACUGUGCACAUCUGGACGGUACCUAAUCAGAAGGCCACGGCAAACUACGG
This 496-nucleotide ribosomal RNA is filed under the name uncultured bacterium. RNAcentral's name for it is "partial 16S ribosomal RNA". It matches the Rfam family "Bacterial small subunit ribosomal RNA", at positions 28 to 506 of the family's 1533-position model. The record is from RNAcentral.